GACGAACGCUGGCGGCGUGCUUAACACAUGCAAGUCGAACGGAAAGGCCCUUUUCUUGUUGGUUGCUCGAGUGGCGAACGGGUGAGUAACACGUGAGUAACCUGCCCUUGACUUUGGUAUAACUUCAGGAAAUUGGGGCUUAUACCGUAUAGGAGCUCCUGCUUCUUGGUGGGGGUUGGAAUGUUUCGGCGGUUGGGGCUGGUCUCGCGGCUUAUCAGCUUGUUGGUGGGGUAGUGGCUUACCAAGGCUUUGACGGGUAGCCGGCCUGAGAGGGUGAGCGGCAACAUUGAGACUGAGAUACGACCCAGAAUCCUACGGGAGGCAGCAGUGGGGGAUAGUGCAAAGUGGGCGGAAGCCUGAUGCAGCAACGCCGCGUGCGUGAUGACGGCCUUCGGGUUGUAAACCGCUUUCGCCUAUGACGAAGGGUGAGUGACGGUAAUGGGUAAAGAAGCACCGGCUAACUACGUG
This 468-nucleotide ribosomal RNA is filed under the name uncultured bacterium. RNAcentral's name for it is "partial 16S ribosomal RNA". It matches the Rfam family "Bacterial small subunit ribosomal RNA", at positions 28 to 507 of the family's 1533-position model. The record is from RNAcentral.